CCUCCAGAACUUCUCCAGAACAUCCCAAACUCCUCCAGAACCUCUUCAGGGACACUUCUGUCUCCCCCCCCAGGCCUCCAGAACCAUCCAGAACCUCUGGAACUCCUCCAGAACUUCUCCAGAACAUCCCGAAUUCCUCCAGAACCUCCGGCAGUGCUCCCAGGCCCCUCUGGCUCCCCCGGGGUUCCGGAAGGUUCUGGAAGGUUCCAGGAGCUCCCCAGGGAAUCUGCAGAUCUCCGGGGUUCCAGAAAACUCCAGAAGGUUUCUGUGGUGCCCCAGGGAUUCUGUGGAGGUUCCAGAAGGUUCCAAGAGCUCCCCGGGGCCUCAGCGCGGCUCUGGGGCCAUUCCAGAAGGUUCCAGGAGCUCCCAAGGACUCUGCGGCGCUCCAGGGCCGUUCCAGAAGGUUCCAGAAGGUUCCAGUGGCUCUCAAGGACUCUUCACCGCUCCGGGGCUGUUCCAGAAGAUUCCAGAAGGUUCCAGAAGGUUCCAGUGGCUUUCAAGGACUCUUUGCCGCUCUGGGGCCAUUCUGGAAGGUUCUGGAAGGUUCCGGUGUCUCCAGGAGCUUCCAGAAGGUUCUGGUGGCUCUCAAGGACUCUUUGUUGCUCCGGGGCCGUUCUGGAAGGUUCCGGAAGCUUCCGGGAGCUUCCAGAAGGUUCCGGUGGCUCUCAAGGACUCUUCGUCGCUCUGGGGGCCGUUCCAGAAGAUUCCAGAAGCUUCCGGGAGCUUCCAGAAGGUUCCGGUGGCUCUCAAGGACUCUUCGUCGCUCCGGGGGCCAUUCCAGAAGAUUCCAGAAGCUUCCGGGAGCUUCCAGAAGGUUCCGGUGGCUCUCAAGGACUCUUCGCUGCUCCGGGGCCGUUCCAGAAGGUUCCGGAAGGUUCUGGAAGGUUCUGGUGGCUCCCAAGGACUCUUCACCACUCCGGGGCCGUUCAGAAGGUUCCGGAAGGUUCCAGAAGGUUCUGGAAGGUUCUGGUGGCUCCCAAGGACUCUUCACCGCUCCAGGGCGGUUCCAGAAGGUUCCGGAAGGUUCUGGAAGGUUCCGGUGGCUCCCAAGGACUCUUCGCUGCUCCGGGGCGGUUCUGGAAGGUUCCAGGAGCUUCCGGUGGCUCUCAAGGACUCUUCGUCGCUCCGGGGCCGUUCCAGAAGGUUCCAGAAGGUUCCGGUGGCUCCCAAGGACUCUUCACCGCUCCGGGGCCAUUCCGGAAGGUUCCAGAAGGUUCUGGUGGCUCUCAAG
This 1231-nucleotide long non-coding RNA is filed under the name Lonchura striata (white-rumped munia). Its description in RNAcentral is "domestica (Bengalese finch) lncRNA (ENSLSDG00000002918.1)". The record is from RNAcentral. Lineage: Eukaryota; Metazoa; Chordata; Aves; Passeriformes; Estrildidae.